UGAAUACGAGACGCUAAGGCGUCGAAGUAGUGUAUAUCAGACUUCCAAGAAAAGCUUGCACUGUCAUAGAUAAAAAAUGCCUGUACCAUAACCGACACAGGUGGGUAGGUAGAGUAUACUAAGGGGCGCGAGAUAACUCUCUCUAAGGAACUCGGCAAAAUAACUCCGUAACUUCGGGAGAAGGAGUGCCUUAUUUAUAAGGUUGCAAUAACAAGAUCCAAGCAACUGUUUAUCAAAAACACAGGUCUCCGCUAAGUCGUAAGACGAUGUAUGGGGGCUGACGCCUGCCCAGUGCCAGAAGGUUAAAGAAGUUGGUUAGCAAUUGCGAAGCUGAUAACUGAAGCCCUGGUGAACGGCGGCCGUAACGAUAACGGUCCUAAGGUAGCGAAAUUCCUUGUCGGGUAAGUUCCGACCCGCACGAAAGGCGUAAUGAUUUGGAUACUGUCUCGGAGAGGGGCUCGGUGAAAUAGACUUGUCUGUGAAGAUGCGGACUACCUGCACCAGGACAGAAAGACCCUAUGAAGCUUUACUGUAACUUGAAAUUGAAAUUGGACUUUAUUCGCGCAGCAUAGGUGGGAGGCGUUGAUUAUAAUCUUGCGGGAUUAUUGGAGCCAUCAGUGAGAUACCACUCUUGUAAUGUUAGAUUUCUAACUUUGAAUCAUUAUCUGGUCAAAGAACAGUUUCAGGCGGGCAGUUUGACUGGGGCGGUCGCCUCCUAAAUGGUAACGGAGGCGUACAAAGGUUUCCUCUGAACGGUUAGAAAUCGUAUCUAGAGUGUAAAGGCAUAAGGAAGCUUGACUGUGAGACCUACAAGUCGAGCAGGGACGAAAGUCGGUCUUAGUGAUCUGACGGUACUGAGUGGAAAGGCCGUCACUCAACGGAUAAAAGUUACUCUAGGAUAACAGGCUGAUCUCCCCCAAGAGUUCACAUCGACGGGGAGGUUUGGCACCUCGAUGUCGGCUCAUCGCAUCCUGGGGCGGUAGUACGUCCCAAGGGUUGGGCUGUUCGCCCAUGAAAGCGGUACGCGAGCUGGGUUCAGAACUCGUGAGACAGUUCGGUCCAUAUCCGGUGUAGGCGUUAGAAUAUUGAGAGGAGCCUUCUUUAGUACGAGAGGACCGAGAAGGACAUACCUCUGGUGUACCAGUUAUCGUGCCAACGGUAAACGCUGGGUAGCUAUGUAUGGAGUGGAUAACCGCUGAAAGCAUCUAAGUGGGAAGCCCACCUCAAGAUAAGUAUUCCC
Molecule: ribosomal RNA, 1240 nt
Filed under: metagenome
Description: bacterial LSU rRNA
Rfam family: Bacterial large subunit ribosomal RNA
Source: RNAcentral